CCUACGGGAGGCAGCAGUGGGGAAUAUUGCACAAUGGGGGGAACCCUGAUGCAGCAACGCCGCGUGGGUGAAGGAGUGCUUCGGCAUGUAAAGCCCUAUCGGCAGGGAAGAAGCAAGACGGUACCUGACUAAGAAGCCCCGGCUAACUACGUGCCAGCAGCCGCGGUAAUACGUAGGGGGCGAGCGUUAUCCGGAUUCACUGGGUGGAAAGGGAGCGUAGACGGGCAUGCAAGCCAGGGGUGAAAGCCCGGGGCCCAACCCCGGGCCUGCCCUUGGAACUGCAUGGCUGGAGUGCGGGAGGGGCAGGCGGAAUUCCUGGUGUAGCGGUGAAAUGCGUAGAUAUCAGGAGGAACACCGGCGGCGAAGGCGGCCUGCUGGACCGCGACUGACGUUGAGGCUCGAAAGCGUGGGGAGCGAACAGGAUUAGAUACCCCAGUAGUC
Molecule: ribosomal RNA, 441 nt
Filed under: uncultured bacterium
Lineage: Bacteria
Description: partial 16S ribosomal RNA
Rfam family: Bacterial small subunit ribosomal RNA
Source: RNAcentral